Long non-coding RNA from Colias croceus (clouded yellow), 242 nucleotides. RefSeq lists it as uncharacterized. The transcript has 2 exons. Lineage: Eukaryota; Metazoa; Arthropoda; Insecta; Lepidoptera; Pieridae. The record is from RefSeq and is a predicted model, not a curated record.
AGAGUGGAAAAAUGAUAGCAGACGAAAUAAUAUCAGCAAUGGAGGCAUUUCAUGCCAUCGAUUUCCCAAAGAGGCUAAUUUAAAAGAGAAAUGGAUAAAUGCAACGUGACGAGUUAACUGGUUGCCGAACAGCACUAAGAAAUCUAACAAAGGCCGCCGAUACAUCAAACCUACGGCAGUUCCAAGAUUUAAAAUAAUGCAUAUUUUCUGUUUGUAUUUUGUAAAUAUAGAUUUAUACUAUU